This 464-nucleotide ribosomal RNA is filed under the name uncultured bacterium. Its description in RNAcentral is "partial 16S ribosomal RNA". It matches the Rfam family "Bacterial small subunit ribosomal RNA", at positions 28 to 507 of the family's 1533-position model. The record is from RNAcentral.
GACGAACGCUGGCGGCGUGCUUAACACAUGCAAGUCGAACGGAAAGGCCCUGCUUGCAGGGUACUCGAGUGGCGAACGGGUGAGUAACACGUGGGUGAUCUGCCCUGCACUUCUGGAUAAGCCUGGGAAACUGGGUCUAAUACCGGAUAUGAGCCAUUUUUAGUGUGAUGGUUGGAAAGUUUUUUCGGUGUAGGAUGAGCUCGCGGCCUAUCAGCUUGUUGGUGGGGUAAUGGCCUACCAAGGCGGCGACGGGUAGCCGGCCUGAGAGGGUGGACGGCCACAUUGGGACUGAGAUACGGCCCAGACUCCUACGGGAGGCAGCAGUGGGGAAUAUUGCACAAUGGGCGCAAGCCUGAUGCAGCGACGCCGCGUGGGGGAUGACGGCCUUCGGGUUGUAAACUCCUUUCGCUAGGGACGAAGCUUUUGUGACGGUACCUAGAUAAGAAGCACCGGCUAACUACGUG